UCCCCUUUAGCUCAGUUGGUUAGAGCAUCUGACUGUUAAUCAGAGGGUCGCUGGUUCAAGUCCAGCAGGGGGAG
This 74-nucleotide transfer RNA is filed under the name Chitinophagaceae bacterium. RNAcentral describes it as "tRNA-Asn". It matches the Rfam family "tRNA". Rfam says of the family: Transfer RNA (tRNA) molecules are approximately 80 nucleotides in length. Their secondary structure includes four short double-helical elements and three loops (D, anti-codon, and T loops). The record is from RNAcentral. RNAcentral also lists the same sequence under 4 other names. Lineage: Bacteria; Pseudomonadati; Bacteroidota; Chitinophagia; Chitinophagales; Chitinophagaceae.